This 76-nucleotide transfer RNA is filed under the name Campylobacterota bacterium. RNAcentral describes it as "Epsilonproteobacteria bacterium tRNA-Sec". It matches the Rfam family "tRNA". Rfam says of the family: Transfer RNA (tRNA) molecules are approximately 80 nucleotides in length. Their secondary structure includes four short double-helical elements and three loops (D, anti-codon, and T loops). Further hydrogen bonds mediate the characteristic L-shaped molecular structure. tRNAs have two regions of fundamental functional importance: the anti-codon, which is responsible for specific mRNA codon recognition, and the 3' end, to which the tRNAs corresponding amino acid is attached (by aminoacyl-tRNA synthetases). tRNAs cope with the degeneracy of the genetic code in two manners: having more than one tRNA (with a specific anti-codon) for a particular amino acid; and 'wobble' base-pairing, i.e. permitting non-standard base-pairing at the 3rd anti-codon position. The record is from RNAcentral. Lineage: Bacteria; Pseudomonadati; Campylobacterota.
AGGGGUGUAGCUCAAUUGGUAGAGCAUCUGACUUCAGAUCAGAGGGUCGCGGGUUCAAGUCCUGUCACCCCUGCCA